RNAcentral lists this long non-coding RNA (1189 nucleotides) under Marmota monax (woodchuck). Lineage: Eukaryota; Metazoa; Chordata; Mammalia; Rodentia; Sciuridae. The record is from RNAcentral.
GUUCUUAGGUCAAGUAACCUUUUAAUAAUAGUUUAUUUGUAAAGCGGGGAUAAUAAUAUACAAUUGUCAGUGUUGGGAGGUUUCAAUAUGGCUAUGCACAGUGUCUCUGCCACUUUCUCAGUUACCACUAUAACUUCCUUUACCCUCACUCUCUACCUUUUCUCAGCAGAGUUUUCCUUCUUUACUUUUUUGACUUCGAGAUAGAAGGCUAGGGAUCUUCUUUAUCUGGUUGAGAAAACCAAGGAUUAGCGAGGGAGAAGAAAAUGCCAAGCAGCAAUUUUCUGGUUUACCUUAAAACUGCUUACAUUGUUGAAUUAAAUGAGUCUCUGGUAGAUAUUUUAUCUGACUUCUGGGGCAUGAUGACAAGUGGCAGACUUCAGUAGUAAUUCAGAGACCAAGGAUUGUCUCGGGACACAAGUAGGGCAGGUGGAAACAAACAAACAAAAAAACAUACACACACAAAAGACAGGUAGCACAACUUAGACUAUAUCCAAGGGGUUAGAACACGUAGUAUACUGUCUGAAGUAGUUUGGAGGAAAGGUGGGAGGAAUGACCAAAGUGAAGAAUAUGGAGACCCUCUGAAGAAUAAUGGUUCAGUGCUGACUAGUGGUUGGUGAAGGAAGAAAAGAAUAAGCAAGGGAUUUGGUUAGAACUAAACAAAGUAUGGAUGGGGUUUGUCUCCGCAUAAUCCAUUUUGCCUUCUAUUCUCUCCCUCACUCCACAUCCCCACACUCUAUUAGCAACCAUCAUUUGAUUUGAAAAACAAUUUAUUUAUUUUUUUUUAAUUUUUUUUAUUUUUUUAGGUUUAUGGCAUAUAGUUUAGGUAAACACACAUACAAGGAGAAAGGAGAAGGGGAAAUGGAGGUGUCAGAAGCAAAGCUGAGUGACAGUGAAAAACAAUUUAAAUUGGUUUCAUAGAACCAAAGUCAGAAGAUUUUAAAAGCUGGAUCAAAUGGAAAUGAACUUCAUCUGGCUCUUAAUAAUAGUUAUAGAAAUGAAUUUCUUUUCUCUCUCCUUUUUUUGUUUUUGGUUCUCUUUUCAAGUUUCUGGGGAUUGAACUUAGGGCUCUAUGGUUGUUAGGCAAGUGCUCUAUGACAGCUACAUUGCCAGCCUUAAUGGAUUGUUUUUAAGUGUUCUGCAUAUGUGAAAAUGGGAGGCGUUGCUGAAAAUUUGUAGAGAUAAAUUUUUU